This 2080-nucleotide long non-coding RNA is filed under the name Sus scrofa (pig). RNAcentral's name for it is "lncRNA (ENSSSCG00045000209.1)". The record is from RNAcentral. Lineage: Eukaryota; Metazoa; Chordata; Mammalia; Artiodactyla; Suidae.
GUGUUAGCUGGCCCAUGAAGACACAGUUAUCCUGUGCCCUAUGGAGUUUCCUUAUUCCCAUGUUAGGGCCUCUCCUUCUGGCACAGUUCAGUUGUUGGUGGCAAGGAGAGAGACAUGAAGGGAUGGACUGGGAGAUGUGUGUUCCAGGACGAAGGAAAAAGAUUCCACAUAUAAUUGAUAUCAUAUCCAAGGAAAACCCUAAUUGGAAAAGAUACAUGCACCCCAAUGUUCAUUACAGCACUGUUUAUGAUAACCAAAACAUGAAAGCAACCUAAAUGUCCAUCAACAGAGGAAUGGAUAAAGAAGAUGUGGCACAUAUAUGAAAUACAUAAAUGAAAUACUACUCAGCCAUAAAAAAUAAUGAAAUAAUGCCAUUUGCUACAACAUGGUUGGACCUAGAGAUGAUCAUAGUGAGUGAAGUAAGUCACACAGAGAAAGACAAAUAUCAUAUCAUAUAUCACAUUCUAAUGCUCAGGGUGUUUAGGAGCAAGGACAGUGCUUAGCAGAGAGUUUUGCUAAACAGGGAGAGGAAAAAAUUAUUAAGCAUUUACUCAGUGCCAGGAAUUGUGGUGGGUGCCUUACGUCUGUAGUGGACACUGAGGUUAACUUAUGACUUUCAAUCCAAGCCUGCCUUUGAGCAGCAACAAAGGAAUGGUUUCUAAACAGCCUAAUCCCCUCAAAGGAGAUUCAUUCCCUUGCCUGGUGGUGGUGGUGGGUGGGAGGGCAGCUUCUAGAAUCCAGGUUUAAGCCAAUCAGAGCAUUGCACUCCCCUAAUGAGUGGAUAGAUUAAGGCUGGGCCUGAGAUCUAAACUGGGCAUUCAUACAGAAAGGAAAGAUUCUUUCCAUUUAGGGGCAUGAGGCCAAAGCUCUGGGCAGCAGAUGCAUGCAAGCAUAUAGAUCCUUAGUGCCAGAGAGUCGUUAAAUCCAUCAACCAAACCUAAACUGAGCUGACCAGACAUCCUCCACUCCCUCCCCAUACCUUUCUCAGCUUGCUCUCUGCUCUGAAAGGCUGACUUGUCUGGACUGUGUGGUUGCGCUCUCUUGUCCUCUGGCUCUUGGGGAACAUGGGCAGGAUGUGGAAAGAGGGAGCAGGGUAAGACUCUGCAUACUCAUUCUGAGAUAAUCCCCUGUUUGGAGCAUCUUCUUCUGUGAGAUGACACCCUCCCUUACUAUUUAAACUGGUCUGAAUUAUGUUUAUUCGUUAUUUACAGUAACACAUGUACCCACAAACAUAUGUUAUCUCUUGUAAACUUCAGGAGAAGUUAAGGUGCCGUUAUUCUUUCUGUGUUAUUACUCUAAGUGAACCAUGGGCCAGAGAGGUUGAAUACCUUGGACAAGAAGCUAAAGAGGCUGCUUUUGUCCCUUAAGUGUAGAAACUGAUUUAUGUUUACUAAAUGCUCUUUUAUAGUAUUGUUGUUUUGUUUAAAACAUUACUAAAUGUCUUUCAAGUACUUUCUUAACCAAAUGUCAUAAUCAGAAAAUAGGCUCACUUAACCUUCUAUAUUGGUUUUAGCUAAUGCCUGGAUGCCAUGUGUAUCUUCCUUCAUCAUUUCAUCUUUUUUUUUUUUUUUUUUUUUUUGUCUUUUUGCCAUUUCUUGGGCCGCUCCCGCAGCAUAUGGAGGUUCCCAGGCUAGGGGUCAAAAAGGAGCUCCAGCCACCAGCCUACGCCAGAGCCACAGCAACGCGGGAUCAGAGCCGCGUCUGCAACCUACACCACAGCUCACGGCAACGCCAGAUCCUUUAACCCACUGAGCAAGGGCAGGGACCGAACCCGCAACCUCAUGGUUCUUAGUCGGAACCAAUUUGCCUAUUCUUAAAGGAUACCCUUGGGAUACAUCCUAAAAGCUUAAACAAAUGUACCCUAUUUAUUUAGAAUAAUUCUUUUAGAAUAAUUUCCACUUAUAGAAAAAUUGCACAACUCUAUAAGCUUUACUGUAUGCAUCUCUAUAUGCUUACAUCCUAAAAGCUUAAACAAUUUACCCUAUUUAUUUAGAAUAAUUUCCACUUAUAGAAAAAUUGUACAUCUCUAUAUGCUUCACCGAGAUUCUUCUAUUCAUAUUCUGCCCCAGUUACUUUUUCC